AAAACCCAGCUUAGGCUGGGGGUUCCGUAAAGCUUACAGCUAUAAGUCAGUUAUAUAACCCCUUUCAAUUUGAUAAAAACGUCUUGUGGUCUGGCAACUGCAAGAGUUAAUUAAGAAUUGAAAG
This 124-nucleotide small RNA is filed under the name Vibrio parahaemolyticus. RNAcentral's name for it is "Hfq binding sRNA". It matches the Rfam family "STnc490 Hfq binding RNA". The record is from RNAcentral. Lineage: Bacteria; Pseudomonadati; Pseudomonadota; Gammaproteobacteria; Vibrionales; Vibrionaceae.